Molecule: transfer RNA, 73 nt
Filed under: Pseudomonadota bacterium
Lineage: Bacteria; Pseudomonadati; Pseudomonadota
Also listed under: 5 other names
Description: tRNA-Asn
Rfam family: tRNA
About the family: Transfer RNA (tRNA) molecules are approximately 80 nucleotides in length. Their secondary structure includes four short double-helical elements and three loops (D, anti-codon, and T loops).
Source: RNAcentral
UGCGGGGUAGCUCAACGGGGAGAGCGGGCGGCUGUUAACCGUCUGGUUGUGGGUUCGAGUCCCACCCCCGCAG